AACGGCUUAACGGCUUAACGGACGGGCAACGGAUUAAAAUUUUUUUAUUAACGGCUUAUCGGAUUGGGGGUGGAUUAUUCAAUUUUCUUAACGGGUAAUCCGUUAACCCGUUAAGAAUAUAUAUAUAUAAUUUAUUUUUAUUUAUAUAAUUAUAUAUAUUAAAUAUAAAAAUAUAUAUAACAGAAAACCUUAAAUCCAUAUUCAUGACAGCACAACCUAUGAUACAACUGCAAACAGAUGUGUCGACAAAGUUAAGGUGCCAUGUUUGGCACUAAUAAUUUACAAGAUGGAGACAACUUUUCUCACACAAUACCAGUGCCUCACUAUUAUUAUUGUUUUGUCCUUUGAGAGGAAUGUGCACCAAAUCAGGAGCCAUAUUACAUUUUAAGGUUUCCCCCAAACACAUUGGGGUACACCUUGAUAGUGAUGAUACUUUCAAACUGGGACAGGUUCGGGAACUCUGUCNNNN
Molecule: long non-coding RNA, 469 nt
Filed under: Nicotiana benthamiana
Lineage: Eukaryota; Viridiplantae; Streptophyta; Magnoliopsida; Solanales; Solanaceae
Description: long non-coding RNA (NBEN_LNC034259)
Source: RNAcentral